GGUUCCCAAGCUAGGGGUCGGAUGGAGCUACAGCUGCCGCCCUACGCCACAGCCACAGCAACGUGGGAUCCGAGCUGCGUCUGCAACCUACACCACAGCUCACAGCAAACCAGAUCCUUAACCCACUGAGCGAGGCCAGAGAUUAAACCUGCAAACCUCAUGGGUCCUAGUCGGAUUCCUUUCCACUGGGCCAAACGGGAACUCCCCACUCUUCUAUUGAAGUUCUUUUUGAUACCUUAGAUAGUAAACUAAAAAUUAAACCUGCAACUUUGUUUACAUAUGCCACCAAACAGUAGCAGUAGGCACCAAACAUUUAAGACAAAUUUCUGCAAGCAAAGAAUUAAGAAACUAUAGAGUGUCAUUAUGUGAAUGGUGCUCCACGCAGAGAGCAGUACAAUUCAGGGGCCUGACUCACUUUUAUUAACAGUAAACACUAUGCACAGUUCAGAAUGUCAAUCAAUAAACAUUUCACAUCUACUAUGUGCUAGACAGUAUGUUAGGAUUGCACACCCUGUGGUUACCAAGACUGGCAUUAAACUCAUAAUUACAGAGACUAAGUCAAGGUAUUAUGGCAACUUAACAGCCUCCCCACUGUCCCUCUCUCUACUCCCUGCAAAACGUCCUCUGGGGUGACAGAAAGUCAAUUUUAAUCUUAGAAAUCUGAAGAAAGUUGUCCUCAAACUAAACUCCUGCCAGAAAAAGUUUUAUGCCAUGCUUUAUAUUCCUAUAGUUUUAAAAAUACAUAUUUAUAUAGAAAAUAUGUAAUAGACAUACUAUGGUAUGUAACAGUAAUAAGUAGUACUAUACACAGUAUUAAACAUAUACAUUAUAUAGUUUUAUAUAUAUUUUAUAUAUACACACAUACACACCGUGUUAUAGUCAUACACAGCAUGUUUUAUGGUAGUUUUACUGUAACUAUACUGCCACAAAGUUCUUCACUUUUUUACUUAAGUAAAAUAAGCCAUUGUAUUCCUCAGAGGUCAUAAUUAGACAUCAAGUAAGGAAAAAGUAAAGCUUUUGAGCCCCUAUUCCAGGGGAAAGUCUUAAGUUGUAAAUGUCUAUUCUGAGUGAUCCUCUUCAGUAAGGAAUCUCCAUUCCCUGAAAAAGUGUAAAAUUUUAUGUAUGACUUGAAGAAUCAAAAUUUUAAAAAUCUAAAAAUAUACUUAGAAUUUUUGUGACUUCAUGUCACAAAAACUGCUGUUCAUCCCAAACCAAAAAUGCCUCAAUGGGCUAUGAAAUAGUUCAAAUCUACCUUCGUACCCAAUCCUAACAAAGCCUAUUAAAUCUGAGGUUUACCACUGAUUGCAGUAAAACUAAAAAUUAUACCGUGUUUAUUACUUUUAUCUACUCACAAUAUACGUUUUCAGGUAAAUUAAUUUUCUGGUACUAAAUCCUGUGUCUCAAGCCUUGAACAGAGACUCUUAUUUUUUUGCCCCCUACAACAGUUACCCUCACCACCCACCCAGAAUGCUUGCAGCCCUCUCCUCCCGGAACUCCAAACCACUACCACCCAAACACACUUCCACAAAACAAAAAGAUCUAGGACAGUGAUAUAAAACUGGGACUCUCAGCUGCAUGUGGCUCUUUCAUUCACCAACCUGUCGGAUUUCAAAUUUCUGUCAGAACAACACAGCACCAUUCUGUGUUCAAAACAGUAGUGGUGUGGGUUUUCUGGCUAAUGGUAACUACAAAUGUAGCUCAAGAAUCCCACAAUUCAAUGGCACUGGUUUAGAAAAGACAAUUUUUAAAAAUAAAAAUGUACAAGUGAUGGGAAUGUGGCAAUUACAUUUUCUCCCUAUCAGAUUCAAAAUAUUUCAUUUGCAAAUCCAAUAGAAAUUUGUGGAAAACGGAAGUGUAAUCUGUAACAAUGUGGCCAUUUAAGUCCUAUUACAAUCAUACACAUAUAAUUUUCAGAUGUGGCCUGACUUAUAAUCAUAUUAGAAAUAGUAUGUACCAAAGUACACUUAAUCCUAAAUCAGUAAGACUAGAAGAGUAAAAAAUAAAGUCUAAAACAACAAAAAAUUCUAAUUACAAAGUACAGUUGGAGAGAAAUAAUACCAGUAUCCAAAUAUCAAGAUGAAUUUUUAAUAAAAUCUAUUUAAAGCAGAUAAAAUUUGAAAACACAAGCCAUUUAAGAUGACCUUAAUUCCUAUCCCCUGGUCAUUAUGACAAGAAUCCAAUAACUAUAUAUUUUCAAUCUUUUCAAACAGUUCACUCGUAUUUCUAAAAGCAGUUAUAACAAAUGUAUAAAAACUGGAAUCACAUAAAAGUACUGCUUUUUAGAGUUCCACGGUAGCAUGGCAGGUUAAGAACCUGGCACCAUUACUGUAGUGGCUCAGGUCAUUAUUGUGGCAUGGGUUUGAUCCCUGGCCUGGGAACUUCUACAUGCCCCAGGUGCAGCUAAAAACUAAAAAAUAAAGUACCACUUUCUUAUAACUAAUUUUUAUUUACAAAAAAAUGUCCUGGCCUUUUAAAGUCACUUCAGCUUCUGGACAAGACAGAUAAGAGGGACCAAAUUUACCCUACCACUUUAAACAGGUGGAAAAAAAUAAUAAUAACAAAAUACAUGAAACAUGAAUUUCUAACCACUAGACAUCACCAGACAGCUCAGGACAGUGAUUCCUUGAGAAAAAAAUGCACACAGGAAGGCCCCUGUGGUGCAGAGAGAGAGAGAAGUAAAGUGGCCAGAGCUCACAAGUACUGAAAAGAAAGUGCUGCUCAGGGAGAGAACUCCAGAGUCCUGAUUGAGUGCUUAUCAGCACAUGCAGGGAAAGACACCAAACGCAACCCAAUGCCAAGAGAAGAACACCCACAAGGGAGAGAAGGAGCAGCCAGGGCUCCCAUUAAAAGUGUUCCCACUUGUUAGAGAAGAAAAUCUUCUAUUCCCAGGGCAUUGGGCAAAAUACUAAGAAUGGUAUUGCUGCUGCAAAGGGGAAAGGUAAGCCUUCCGAGCUGCCCUGAUCACUUUUUUUCUUUUUUUUUUUUUGCUUUUUAGGGCCACACUUUCAGCAUAUGGAUGUAUGGAUGUUCCAAGGCUAGGGGUCGAACAGAAGCUGGAGCCUCCGGCCUCUGGCCUACGCCACAGCAAUGAGGGGUCUGAGCCACGUCUGCUACCUACACCACAGCUCACAGCAACACCAGAUCCUUAACCCAUUGAGUGAGGCUGGGGAUCCAACCUGCAUCCUCAUGGAUACUAGUCAGAUUUGUUUCUGCUGAGCCACAAUGGGAACUCCCCUCUGAUUACUCUUGACAAAGCUUAAAAGCAAGUCUCCAAAGGAUCAGACUUCUUCCAAGGAACUUGAACUGCAUCUCAACCACAAAGCUCAAGAAUACAUUUGAGAAUACAAAAGUACCCAAAAAAAGGUGAAAUUCAUAUCUAGUAUUCAAUAAAAGAAAAAAAAAGUUUGGAAAUGUGAUGGGGAAAAAUAAUCAACAAAAACAGACGCAGAAAGGGACACAGAUAAUAAAAUUGACAAAGACAAUAAAUGUUGUCUUUUCUGUAAGUUCUAAAUGAAUGGCAAAUACCUAAGUGUGUUAGGUGGAGUCAUGGCAAUUAUAGAACUCAAACCAAACUUCUAAAUAUAAAAAAUAUAAUACCUGAGUAUCUGGAAAAUACACUGGAUGGGAUUAAUGGUAUAUUAAAUAUUGCAAAAGAUAAAUAUACAUGAAAACAUAGCACUAGAAAUUUUCAAAAUGAAACAAAAGUAAAAAAAUAAAAGACUUUGAACAGAACAUCAGUGAGCUGUGGAAUGACUUUGAUAACCUAAUAUACAAAGGGGAAAGGGGCAGAAAAAAUAUUUGAAAAAAUUAACGGCCCCCAAAUUUUCCAAAUAUAUUGAAAACUAUAAACUCACAACAACCCCCAAGCACAAGAAAUAUGAAAAAAACUACAAGGCAAAUCAUAAUUAAACUGCAUAAAACCAGAAAUAAACAGUACAUUCUAAAAGCAGCCAAGCGGGGGGAGACAAUAUACACAAGAUCAAAGACAAGGAUGGUGGCAGACUUCUCCUAGGAAACAAUGCAAGCCACAGGACAGCUGAACAACAUCCUCCAGUAUUUUUUUUAAAAUUUUUUUAUUACUCAAUGAAUUUAUUAACAUCCUCCAAUACUGAAUAAAAAAAUUGUUGGAGUUCCCGUCGUGGCGCAGUGCGGUUAAUGAAUCUGACUAAGAACCAUGAGGUUGCAGGUUCAAUCCCUGGCCUUGCUCAGUGGGUUAAGGAUCUGGCGUUGCCAUGAGCUGAGGUAUAGGUCACAGACGUGGCUUAGAUCCCAAGUUUCUGUGGUUGUGGCGUAGGCCAGCACCUACAACUCCAAUCAGACCCCUAGCCUGGGAAUCUCCAUAUGCCACGGGUGCGGCCCUAAAAAAGACAAAAUACAUACAUACAUACAAUGAUUGUCAGAUUGGGAAAGAAGUCCCAACUAUAUGCUGCUUAAAAUAAACCCAUAUUAAAUAUUUUUAAAGUCAUGUACCAGCUAUCGCUUGUCAAGACACUAAUCAGUACAAAAAACUUGUCCUGCAGGGACUUAAAAGUAUCAAUGUGUAGUACAAAGCAACAAAGAUUCAUGGACAGGUGGAGAGAAAGGGAAAUAUACAAGAGAAUGAUAAAGAUUUAUUAAGUUUCAAUUCUCCACAUUACUGGAGUCUGUAUAUAUCAAAUUCUAUUUACUCCUCUUUAUGGCAAAAGCUCUCUUCUCAAAAGUCUGGGGUUGGGGAGUUCCCAUUGUGGUGCAAUGGAAAUGAAUACAACCAGUAUCCAUGAGGACUUGGGUUCCAUCCCUGGCCUCGCUCAUUGGGUUAGGGAUCCGGUGUUGACUGAGCUGUGGUGUAGUUCACAGACACGGCUUGGAUCCCCCGUUGCUGUGGCUGUGGCUAGCAGCUGCAUCUCCCAUUCGACCGUCACCUGGAAACGUCCAGAUGCCGUGGGUGCAGCCCUAAAAAANAAAAAAAAAAAAAAAAAAAACAACAACAAAAAAAACCAGGGAUUGGUAAAAAUGCAGUUUAUCAGAAUUAUAGAUAACCUUGCAGCACUCUGGGUUAAGGACCUGGUGUUAUCACUGCAGUGGCUCAGGUCACUGCUGUGGGAUGGGUUUGAUUCCUGACCUGGGAACUUCCACAGGCCAUGGGUAUAGCCAAAAAAAAAAAAAAAGCUGCUUAUCCAAUAAACUAUUCUCAUUCAGAUCAGACGGAGGCUACUCCUUCUAUUAAAAAACAAAACAAAAAGCAACCAAAUACUAUGUCCAUGCUUUAUAAAAUGCAACAAGACACGUGAUUUUCAACACACCAGAAAUCCUUUGAAUUUCAAGUUGGGAUCCACCAUGGCUAAAAAUAAAUAUAUGGUAAGCUGGACUUGGGUAAAGCAGGCAACAUUCCCCAAAUUUAGUCCCUGCUCUUCAGAAAAAAGCAAAUCUAUCACUUAAUAUUUCACAGUUAACACAUUACUAUCAUUCUGGGACACCAAUAUCCUGGAAUUCUGAGAGAUUUUCUAAUACUGUGAUAAGUCUAGCUCAGUCCCCCUAAAUCUAAAGAGACGCUGAUUAGACUCCCUGUUUUUAAAUUCUGGCUCCUGGUAUGAUCAUGGUCAAUUACUUAACUUUAUGCUUCAACUUCCUCAUCUGUAGUAAAACAGAGGAAAAACAGAACAGUGUAAUUUUUUUUGAAGAAUACUUUUUAUAGUAAUAAUUGCUAUUAUAUAUUGAGAGUUCCCUCUGAGCAGAGCACUACUCUCAGGGCUGUAUGUAAGUAUAUAUUUAAAGCCUAAAAAACCUAUGAGGUAACAAGCAUUUUCAUCUCAAUUUUAUAGAUAAGGAAACCGAGGUGGGAGAGAUUUACAUUUCCCCCAAAUUUACAUACUAUGAACUAUUUAGUGAUAAGAGCUUUAUCCUCUUCAUUUUGAGUAAUCCCAGCUUCUAGCACAAAGAGCAUAAAACAUAUCAAUGGAAGUUGCUGAAUGAAUUCUGGCAUGGUCCUGUUUGUCUAUACAUCAGUUACUCGUGCAUGGGUAGGAAUCAGAAGUCUGGUGUUCUCUCCCAACCACACCAGUCUUCAGCUAAGUCACAUCACCUCCCUAGAUCUGAGUGUCCUCAUUUGUAAAAUGAGGAAUUGAACUAGAUCUAAGUAGCCUUUCAACUCAAAAAUUUCCAAGAAAAGCCAAUAUUGUUCUUCGGAAGAAAAAGAGUCGCCCCUGACUAGGUGAGUGGAAGAACCUCGAAAUUUUCAGAAUAACAUUUAGAGUCCUUUUUUUUUUUUUGGCUGCCCCCCCACCCACGGCAUAUGGAAUUACAGAGCCAGGGAUCAGAUCUGAGCCGCAAUUGCAACCUAAGCCGAAGGUGCAGCAAUGCAGGAUCCUUAACCCACUGUGCCGGGCUGGGGAUUAAACCUGUGUU
RNAcentral lists this long non-coding RNA (6384 nucleotides) under Sus scrofa (pig). RNAcentral's name for it is "lncRNA (ENSSSCG00015011533.1)". Lineage: Eukaryota; Metazoa; Chordata; Mammalia; Artiodactyla; Suidae. The record is from RNAcentral.